This 474-nucleotide long non-coding RNA is filed under the name Sorghum bicolor (sorghum). Its description in RNAcentral is "long non-coding RNA (SBIC_LNC002561)". Lineage: Eukaryota; Viridiplantae; Streptophyta; Magnoliopsida; Poales; Poaceae. The record is from RNAcentral.
CCGUGACGAACUAAAAUUCUUCCAUAAACCGAUCAGCAGUUUCCGGACCCCUCCUCCAUAUCAUCGGCAGACUCCUUGCCAUAGUCAUUGGCAGACUCCCCAAUUAUAGCCAUCGGCACAAACACAUCACUGCCUGCAGACUUAGUCACAUCCGACCUCUCCUUCAUCGGCAACCAUCCUCAUCGGCAAUUCAUCUUAUAAACAGCAUACUGCCACUUUAUCCUGCCAUCCUGGGCACGUGCCCAAAAAACGGUGUCAACACAUGCCCCCAAUUUUGGAGUAUAAAACUAUUAAUGCUCCGAAAUUCUCUGCAGUAAUGAUGCCUUCUUCCCGCAAUUAAUACUCCUAAUCUGGUAACCGACAACCUCAAUCUGAACAACUCUGAUCCUAUUCUCCCGCAGAUUCCUCGAAAUCCCCAACUUCCUGAACGGGCAUUUCUCUCUCAACCGUACAUCGGCAAUAAUACCGUUACAA